RNAcentral lists this ribosomal RNA (1046 nucleotides) under uncultured Arthrobacter sp. RNAcentral's name for it is "bacterial SSU rRNA". It matches the Rfam family "Bacterial small subunit ribosomal RNA", at positions 337 to 1393 of the family's 1533-position model. The record is from RNAcentral. Lineage: Bacteria; Bacillati; Actinomycetota; Actinomycetes; Micrococcales; Micrococcaceae.
UCCUACGGGAGGCAGCAGUGGGGAAUAUUGCACAAUGGGCGAAAGCCUGAUGCAGCGACGCCGCGUGAGGGACGAAGGCCUUUGGGUUGUAAACCUCUUUCAGCAGGGAAGAAGCGAAAGUGACGGUACCUGCAGAAGAAGCGCCGGCUAACUACGUGCCAGCAGCCGCGGUAAUACGUAGGGCGCAAGCGUUAUCCGGAAUUAUUGGGCGUAAAGAGCUCGUAGGCGGUUUGUCGCGUCUGCUGUGAAAGCCCGGGGCUCAACCCCGGGUCUGCAGUGGGUACGGGCAGACUAGAGUGCAGUAGGGGAGACUGGAAUUCCUGGUGUAGCGGUGAAAUGCGCAGAUAUCAGGAGGAACACCGAUGGCGAAGGCAGGUCUCUGGGCUGUAACUGACGCUGAGGAGCGAAAGCAUGGGGAGCGAACAGGAUUAGAUACCCUGGUAGUCCAUGCCGUAAACGUUGGGCACUAGGUGUGGGGGACAUUCCACGUUUUCCGCGCCGUAGCUAACGCAUUAAGUGCCCCGCCUGGGGAGUACGGCCGCAAGGCUAAAACUCAAAGGAAUUGACGGGGGCCCGCACAAGCGGCGGAGCAUGCGGAUUAAUUCGAUGCAACGCGAAGAACCUUACCAAGGCUUGACAUGAACCGGAAAGGCCUGGAAACAGGUCCCCCACUUGUGGCCGGUUUACAGGUGGUGCAUGGUUGUCGUCAGCUCGUGUCGUGAGAUGUUGGGUUAAGUCCCGCAACGAGCGCAACCCUCGUUCUAUGUUGCCAGCGCGUUAUGGCGGGGACUCAUAGGAGACUGCCGGGGUCAACUCGGAGAAAGGUGGGGACGACGUCAAAUCAUCAUGCCCCUUAUGUCUUGGGCUUCAUGCAUGCUACAAUGGCCGGUACAAAGGGUUGCGAUACUGUGAGGUGGAGCUAAUCCCAAAAAGCCGGUCUCAGUUCGGAUUGAGGUCUGCAACUCGACCUCAUGAAGUUGGAGUCGCUAGUAAUCGCAGAUCAGCAACGCUGCGGUGAAUACGUUCCCGGGCCUUGUACACACCGC